This 549-nucleotide long non-coding RNA is filed under the name Medicago truncatula (barrel medic). Its description in RNAcentral is "lncRNA gene18157". Lineage: Eukaryota; Viridiplantae; Streptophyta; Magnoliopsida; Fabales; Fabaceae. The record is from RNAcentral.
GUUCAUUUGCAUGUAACAAAUAAAUUUCUUCCAGUUGAGAUGUUAAAUUAAAAAUAUAAACAUUUGUUUAAUAAAAAAAAAUGCAUGUCCCACUUUCUCUCAAACGAGUCCCAUCCUCUUUCAUCUUUAUUUGUAUCAUCGUCUCUCUCCCUCCCUCCCUGCCGCUUCCCUCCUUCAUUGUCGUCGAUUGAAAGUGAGAUACUCAAUUUUUAUGUAUUUGUUACAAUUUGGUUUAAUAAUGAGAUACUUGAUUUUGAAAGUGAGAUACUCAAUUGAGAAAUUCUCAAGAUGCAGUGAGAAUUGAUUACGGUGAAAUAGAACCCAAGAUAAAUUGAAAUUUAGGUCUGAGAAUUUUAAGACUACAAGAAAGUGAUGGGUCUAAGAGAAAUCAACAAUUUGGGAUAAUAGAAAACUAAUUUGGGAGUAGAGAGGUGUUGCAAUCAGUCAGAGAAUCGAGUUUGAGAGAUCAACGACGGUGAAGGAGGCUUAAAGUGGAGAAGGAUAACAAAUGUUCAGGGACAGUGGUGUUGAUAAAGAUGGAAGAUGAAG